AACAAGCGCUGAGGGCCCUCCGCCGGGGGGCCGCCAGGCUGGCGCCCGCUGCCUGGCUCGGGGCGGGGGGGCACGGCCCCACGCGGGACAGGCGGUCCCCGUGGCCCUGCCGGCCGGUGGGUGGUGGGCGAGGGCCUUCCCCAGGCGCUCAGCUUCCAGCUGCGGCCCUGCGAGGGGUGGCUGAGGCAGGGGGUGAUGCCUGCGGCUCCCCACGGACACGAGGGGGUCCGGACCGCCAGAGCCACCCGGGGUCCAAAGCUUAUGAGAGGGGGCCCAGGGGGGCUGCAGCAGCAGGGCAGGAGGGUCGCAGCUGGAUGGGGAGCGAUUUCCCAAAGCCCAGGAGGAGGCAGGAAGGGAAGCCGCUGCCCAUCGAGAGGACGAGAGGCUCGGAGAUCCUCUUUGGCAUCGCGCCGUGUGCCCUGGCCCUCUCGCAGUCGAGGAGGGACCUGUUCAGGUUGUUCCUCAAGGAGAGCGCCGGCUCUCAGCGGCUCGUCAUGAGCGAGUUUGUCCUUCAGGCCGCGGCCCGGGGGGUGCCCGUGCACCGUGUCGGGAGGAGAGAGCUCGAUGCGCUGUGCAGGGGUCGGGUCCACCAGGGGGUUUGUUUAGAGGCCACCCCGCUCCGUUUCAAGAGUUUGGAGGAAGCUGAGAAGCCCGAUGUGGGGGAUGAAGAGAGUCCGAACCGACAGCUGGUUUGGCUGGUGCUGGAGCAGAUCCAGGAUCCCAUGAACCUGGGCGCACUGUUGCGCUCUGCCUACUUCUUGGGGGUGGACAGAGUGGUGACCAGCCAGAGGAACAGCUGCCCCUUGACUCCGACAGUGAGCAAAGCUAGCUCUGGAGCUAUGGAAGUCUUUGAUGUCUACAGCACAGAUGAUCUCCGGAGCUUUUUGAAGGCUAAAGCUGCAGAAGGCUGGGAAGUUGUGGGAACAGUGAGCAAGCCUGAAGAGGUGGAAAAUGUUCCUGUCAUCAGUUGCUUGGAAUUUCGGUGGAAUAAACCCAUUAUCAUAGUAAUAGGUAAUGAAGGUGACGGACUUUCCCUGGAGACGCAGCUCUUGUGCCAUCGGAUGCUGGCCAUUCCCCCUGGCAGAGCGCUUCACCCGGGUAUCGAGUCGCUGAACGUCUCUGUGGCUACUGGUAUUCUCCUGCACUCCAUCUGCAGCCAAAAGCUGAGGCAGUGACUGAUUUUUAUUGUGGCACGUGGUGGAGGUCACCUAGCCUGGACCUUUGGCAGAAGGAAGCUGCUUGGUGUUUCAUGGCUGCUUUCUGUCAGCGUGGAUGUGGAAGUGCUCUUUCCAGUUUUUUCACCAUCUCUACAAGGUACAGGAUGUGUCCCUGGGAGAGGCUGGCCGGCCUUGCCGAGGGUGCUGGCUGCGGUGCUGGCUGCAGGGCUGGGACAGGACGAGGGCUGGGACAGGACAGGUCGCUCGGCUGCUGCAGCAGCUGUGGGGACUUCCCUUGCCGAGGAGAAACGCAGAACAUCGCCCAGCCAGGGGCUGGCCUGCAGGUGGGAUCCUGCUCAGCCUUGCACUGAAACCUUCUGCCGUUUAGUGGUAUCAAGCUCUCACUUCUGUCACUGCAGCUGGAGAGGGUGCCUGGUGUGUGGUGGCACAUAUCCUGAGCUGUGGCUGCCCCUUUGCCUCUCCUGUGCAAAAGGACAGAAGCCAAAUUCCCCCAAAAAUGACUGCUGCAGUGCCAGACAAGGCUUUGGUGCCUGCAUCUGAAGGUGUUCACCGAACAGCAGCGAAAGGUCUGCUGGAUUGCUGGGGCGAUGGCUGCUGGGCAGCACUUUAAUAAGAGGAGGUACUUCAUUAAGUUUGCAUGGGUUUGGGAAAGCCGUGCACCCUCAGACCAUGCGUAGCCGUGCUGGUGUAUCCCCCUAAUGAGGAGGCAGGUGAGUAACGAUGGAGCAGUUACUUUUUUGAACCCAAAAAGCUUCGAGACCACGGUGGCUCCGUCAGUGGGGCGGGUGUGGGGACAUUGCUAGGAGCCUUGGGGCAGGGGCCUGCCUGGGUCUCUCCAUCCCCCUGCACGGUGAUCGGUUUUCCUCUGGGAGCAGUUUCCAGUGGUUUGCCUGGUCCUGUUUUAAAUGUGCCAACGAGUGGGGUUUUGCAUUCCCAGGCCUUGCAGGCAGGAUGGAUCAGAAUCCCUGCAGUCUCUCCUCUGGUGGCUCAGCAUCCAUCGCUGCAGCGGCAGCGACUCCCCGCAAAUUGCCCCGUGCAGCCGCCGUCUGCACAGCACCUUGCUGUGGCACUCGAGCGUCAGACCGGGCUUACCAGGGGCUGUAUGAGGUUUGCAUUUUAAGAGCUUCUGGUGCUUUAUGAUUAUUUUUACCAGGAGUUUGUCUGCCAGCUCUGCUGGCACAUCCAGGGAGUGCGCUGGGGGCUGUGUUACGUCUGCUGGUGCAAGGCAAGGGAAACAGGGAUCUGAGUGCACAAAAGGGGCUGGGGCUCAGACCUCGUGCCUGACUGCUGCUCCACGGGCGUCAUUGCGAGUGCAGUGAAUCCCACCCCAGACAGCUACAGCUGAUGCAUUCAGCACGUCUCCCUUGGCGUUAACUUUUGGCCCUGCUUUGCAUUGCUGGUGCCCAGCUUAUGGAUAUGGGUUUGGCUUCUGGCACAGCCAACACCUCUCCUCCUGCCCGAGCCGCAUCCUGCUGUGGAUCCAGCAGCCCUGAGGUCUAAUGCUGCCGGGAGGAGCACGGGGACCUCUGCAGAGUGGCACCUUUUGAGAUGGAGCUUUCUGCUGCGUGAUUUGCCCCCGAUCUAAUAAAUGCGAUCCAUUAAUUGGAUCAUUGCCUGCUUCUCCAGUUAAUUUCCUGGAUAUUUUUAAACGUUAAAAUGUAGUUUUUAUAGUCUUUCAUUAUUUUUAGCCUUAAGCUCGACUAUAAUCGUCCCUGUAAUGUAACUGUAAAAAACUCCCGGCUUUAUAUCAUAAAGGAGGACAUUAAUUGUCAUUUUUUGUGUACAUCAGCAAGAUCAAAACAUGUUCCCUGAUUACUUCUGUUUGUACACAGAGUCUCUUUGAUAUUUAGAUAUGAAUAAAGUGUGUGCGCGUAAUUUGAAAGUCAAUUCUUCCCUCCCUGCUGCUUGUCAUGGAUUCCUCUCAGAAGCGUAUUUACCAAAUUGAUUUUAAAAUUUAGUAAUUGCCCUUCCAAAAUGAUUUCUCAAUAAUCAAAGUGUCUCUAAGCACAGUGGCAAAAUAUUUGUCCUUGCGAGUUCAGAAAAUGCGCUCUGCGCCUGUCUGUUUAAUCUCAGACCAGGCUGAGCACAAAUCUUUUCAUCCCCCAAAAUCAACUCGAGGGAGAACAGGCUUGGAGAAGCUCAGCUGAUGCCCCAAAUUUAGGUUCUGUGCACAGAUUAUUAACGACCAAAACCAAAUCAUUGCAUAAAAUCCUCAGCUGGCUCCUAAUGAGGCUUCAUGAGAGGGGCUGGCAGUGCUUUUGGGCAGAGGACAGCUGUUUUCUCUGUGCCAUGGUCGGUGCCAUGCCACGGCCAGGGCUGCCCCAUGCUUGUGCCUGGUGCUUGCACCACCUCGGGUGGCUGGGCCACGUGCUGUGGAAUGAGAUCAAUUUGGCUGCUCCAGAGCUUCUUGUUCUCAUUUGCAGCUGCUUUCAAGAAAGUUGUGGGUUUAUUAUUUUUUUAAAGCAGCUUUGGCACCAUCCCCUUUAUUCUUAAGCCCUGUGCCCACCCGACGAGCGCAGGUCUCCAGCCUUAAUCGUCCCAUUUUUCUGCAGCAGCUUUAUAACGAGGCUGUGCUGAAAAUCGGGUGUGAGGGCUCAGCCUGGGCACGCGGCCCCUCCGGGUGCGGUGGGGAAUCCUCCAGCCGCGCCACAGCGAUGAUCGGAGUUUGUAAAUGUAAUCAACCUUGAGGUCUUGUUACUUCCACAGGUGCAAUUAACAUUACCAUCUGCUAAUCUGUGAUUAACGAUGUUUACAAAUAUGCUACAACAUGUUAAAAUGUGCCUGCGCUCUUUUAUUAUUAUUAUUAUUAUUUUUUUCCCCUCUGUUUCCCCUGUUUUGGCAUGAGAGCUGUGCCGGCGGCAGAGGCGCGGCGAGGGCUCCCGGCGGAGGGCUCGCCGUGCGCCACCACCAACUCGCAGACGUUUUGCUUUCGUUACUUAAAAGUGCUGUUAAACUCCAAACCAGCUGUAGGAAUGACAAGUUCAAAUCAGGAGGUCAGUACUGCUAAAUGGGAUUUAAUUGCACGGGGGUUGAGGUACAAACUGAUGAAUCUGAAUAAUAAAACUUUGUUGGAGGCGACAUAUGGCACAGCUUAAAGUAAAUUUUUAUUGAUCGUCCCACAACGGCUGUGUUAAUGGGAUGGCAGUCUUUGCGUUGGGUGGGAGAUUGAUGUGGAGUUUUAAUAACGUCACCCAGGAAUAUUGUGGAUUCUAAUAGGAGAGUUUUUAAUUUUUUUUUUUAAAGUGUUUUCUAUUAACUGCCUCUUUCUUUUUAACACGGAGAGGAAUACAUUAUAUCUCUACAGUAUGUCCUCCAGAUCUAGGUUACAUGUAAUUGCUCCGUAAUUGGUAGAACCAUGUAAAAGCCAUGGUAUUUGCCAGUCAACCCUCCUAAGUUACCAUGAAAUUGAAGUGUGAUAUUUAUUCCCUAUAAAACUUGCGACCCAAAUAUUGUGUAAGAUGAGGCUUGGUUUACUGCAGCGGCGUUUUUGCAGGGGCUGUGCCGUGCAUGAUGCAUGCGCGUCUGGGGCUGUGUGCCUUUAUUAUCGUAACUGGGGGUGUUGGGCUUGUUUUUUUUUUUUUUUUGAAUAGGUGCUGGAGGGGGAAUUUUGCUUUGAGGGAAAAUGUUUUAACCUCACUUGGGCUUCAGUCUCAGGCUGACUGAAGUUAUCUUGUGCUCCGAUUCAAACUGAUGGAGGUUUUUGGGGUAACUGAAUAAAUUCUUCUUGUGUUUUCAGUGGGCUGGGGUAGUAAUUAUACUUACUGUCUUUCUCAAAGCCUCUGGAGAUGAAAUAUUUGUCUGGGUAUUGGGAUCCUCAGCUGGGAGAUGCUCUGCAAGUACACAGGGUUCUCGUUAGACUAAAAUAGUGGUGACUGGCUUCAGCACCGGGACGAAUGUCACUGCCGAACGCGGGUACCUAAAUUUAGAGAUGAAAGAUGUGCAUUGCGUGCUCCUUGCAGCUGGAUGCUAUUUGUGUUUAAUUACAUCUCCCCGCGCAUCACGCUGUUACGAAGUUGUUUGUGCUGAAUGCAUUUUGUAUGUGCAAGCAGGCACGCCAAAAUGAUGCUGACCAGGCUGGGGGCUGCUGGUAAUGCUGCCGAGGCCCGUGGCAGCAUCCCUCGUGGGCUGUGUCCGUGGGGUGCCCGCGAUCCAGCUGCUGGAGGCUGGGAGGUUUUUGCCCAGUCGGUGCAGAAUGGAUGGGUGGAUGCAGCGAUGGCUCAAAUAUGCUCGCUGCAUGGCUUUAGCUAUGCACAGAGAAGCUGCAAGAUCAGCAGUGUUUCUCCUGCACUCCGUAAGUGUUAGCUCAGCUCUUUUCCCUGGAGAUCUGAGAACCAGACCCUGCAGGUCCUGACGAUGCCAAGCUCUGUCCCGGGUCCUGCUCCAAGACUGGUGGGUUCUGGUUGCACGGCGGAACAGAGGAGGUGGCGGUGUCUGCCGGCGCCUUCGCAGCUUUGCCAGCCCUCAUUAGCACCUUCCGGCGUGGCGCAGCUUGUUCAAACCAUAUCACAAGUCUUCUGCUUGAGAUUGCAUCUGUGCCUAAUAUGCAUUUUUAUAUAAACAAGGGUACUAAAUGGCCUCUCAGUUCCCUCUGUAAUGUCUUUUUUAAUGGAAGGUCCUGAAUUAAGAACAUAUAUAUAUGACUCUAAGAAUUUUCUAAGUGAUAUUGAAAAGCUAUUGUAAGGUAGGAUUCCUUCUUGCAAAAUUAUUUUAAUGAGGUUCCAGUUUAUUUUCUGGCUAUAUUUUACUUAUUUAAUCCUCCAGAGGGGUUUUUCAGAGGCAGCAUCUCAUUUUCAAUGCAACUAUUCUUAACAUCAGGGAAAACUACCUUUCUGAAAUGCAUGAAGGGGAAAAAAAAAAAAAAAAAAGAAGAACCAGAGGAAGAUGUACGAGAUAAGAAUAAACUUGAAAAGCUUUGAGGUGGUUUAUGGCUUCUCUUGAAAGAAUAACAGUUCAUGUAUUUUUGUUAUGGUGUGGUUUAAUGAUGCUUGCAGAAAAAAGAUAAGGUAGAAAUGGAAAUAUAAAAUUAAACCAGCAAA
Molecule: RNA transcript, 6214 nt
Organism: Oxyura jamaicensis (ruddy duck)
Lineage: Eukaryota; Metazoa; Chordata; Aves; Anseriformes; Anatidae
Gene: MRM1
Gene name: mitochondrial rRNA methyltransferase 1
Exons: 8
Source: RefSeq, a predicted model, not a curated record